Eriocheir sinensis (Chinese mitten crab) is the source of this 7624-nucleotide RNA transcript. RefSeq lists it as uncharacterized. The transcript is spliced from 11 exons. NCBI's taxonomy places the organism in Eukaryota, Metazoa, Arthropoda, Malacostraca, Decapoda, Varunidae. The record is from RefSeq and is a predicted model, not a curated record.
UACAACUCUGUGGAUACUGUCACGGGGCCACCGCGUCUCGGCUUGAAUAAACGGAAAAGAGUUGAAAAGGCUCAAGCAACAGAGGCUGAAAAAUUAUAGUGCAUUAAAGGGAGAAGAAUUAAAUAACAACUACGAAGCGAUACAAAGCGAUACAGGUCAAAAGAAGAAGAAGGCGGCGGCCUCGGGCUGUCAGUCUGUUACUCGGAGUCAGCUCGGAGGCUGUCAGCGACUCGGCGCCCACACUCCAAGACAGCACUCCAGCAGAGUGUUUGCGGCCACCGUCAGCCCUUCUGCCAUGGUCUGGGGCUGUCCACGCCACUGGCACUGUCACAGGCACUGAGGAGCCUUGCGGCACUGAGUUACCAGUACUGCUUCAGGCACCAAGGAGCACCAUGGCCUCUCAGCAGAUCCCCAGAGCUCCUGAUGCUAUCAGUGAUGAUGAAAUGAACAUUCUUAAGUUGAUGAAGAUGGCAUACCAUACAGCAUGCUCUGUUCUUUAUCGAGUCUUCAUUUGGGGAACACAACAGGAGCCAGGUCAGACAGUAGAGGACUACUUGCUGAAGACCAAGGGGUACUCUAGAAAAGAUUACAAAAAAUUCUUUGACAGAUACCAAAUAGAUUUAAUGUCGGACAAGUCUUUAGAACCAAACUUUGAUAUUUCCACCUUAAGUAAGAUCAUCAGGCAUACCUGUGGUAGGCUGGACUCAUCUUCACAGGUUUGGAAUACAAAGGAUGACAACAGAAUUGAAUGGCUUGUGACAGAAAUCAAAGACUUCCGUAAUGACCUCAGCCAUAAUUUUAAGGGAAUAUCAGCAGGUGAUUUGUUCUCAAAAGCCACAGAGCUGAUGAAUCUGCUUAAGAAAACAUUAGAUGUGGCUGGAGCCCUUUAUGAGAAGUCUCCAGAGGAAAUUUGUGAAGAGAAAGAGAGAAUAGCAAAAAAUAUUGAAACUGUUAUGUAUCAGAACUUAGCAGUCUCAGACAUCAGUGAAUAUGAAGUUAUCAAGUUUAAUGAAAAACAAAAAAAUUUGCUAAAAGAAGAAGGUAGAAAAGAGUUAGAAAAACGAUACGAACGUUUGUGUCAGCUCAACCCAGUUGACUUCUUGGAGAAUAAUGGAUUACUACUUGAUGUCAACAUGAUCUUUACUCAAAUUGAGGUUGAGAAUGCUGGUCGUAAGAAAAGAGGCCUCCGUGUUCCAUGUCAGGAACUGAUUACAUUUUGCAGGAGUUAUUCUGCACCAAAAAGGGAUACCAAAGCCCCAAGUCCUGAAGCAUAUCUUCUUGAGGGCCCAGCAGGAGCUGGCAAGACAACUCUUAUCAAGUAUAUUAAGGGUGGAUGGUCAAAGAGGUCAAAUAAUGAGGAAUGUAUGCUAGGCCUUGAUGAGUUUGACCUAAUCUUGUUUAUGGAAUGCAGGAACACCUGUAUAUCAUCUUUUUCCCAGCUUCUCAGUCACUUGAUGCCAGAAACCAGUUCAAAAUAUUUCAGAAAGGAUGAUCUUUUAAGAUUUACCCUUGUCCUAAAGACACUCAUUUUAGUAGAUGGGCUUGAUGAACUGAAUUCCUCCUCAGAAAAGCUCUUUUUGGAUAUAAUAAAUCAAGACAAUAGUAACUUUGUAAUAUUUUGCACAUCGCGCCCAGAAAAAAUCCAAUACUUCACAAGGCAUGUUCCUCCUACAUUUCAUACAGCUCAUCUGAAGAUAAUUGGCAUUGCUGAUAACAGAAAGGAGGACUUUAUAAGGAAAUAUCAUGGAGAGAUGCAGAGGCAGGGCAUGAGCAAACAAGAUACAGAGAGUCUUAUCAAUUACAUCAAGAAAUCUGAAUCUCACCUGCAGUAUCAUUAUCGUCUACCCUUAAACUUGGUGUUGCUCACCUGGCUCUGGGCUGAUGACCCUGACUCAGUGUCUCCCAUGACAACCUCCAGUGAGCUGUACAUCAAGACGCACGACCUCAUGAAGAAAAAGCUGGUAGAUAGAUUAGCCCAUCGUGAAGACACACAUGCUGAUGACGUUGAAUUGGAGGAAAGAAUUAAGCAAGUUUUGUACAGUAUUUAUGAACAAGCUCUUUAUUCCCUGAGUAUGGAUACAAUUGAGAGUUUAUUACCACAGUCAGUGAAACAAAUGAAGGCUACUUGUGAAGCUAAUAAGUUACCUUACAGGGAAACUCUAUCUGCAUUUUUUGUGAUCAGAAUUGUGGAAGGAGAGGAAAAGAUGAGUGUACCACACAAAAUGCUGUGUGAUUUUUAUGCAGCACAGUGUAUAGUGCAGAAUUUAUUCAAUAAAGAACAAGAAAGCAAGGAACAUGAAAAACAAAAGAUUACUGAACUCCUGUGUCAGAGCAACAUAGAUCCUGUGAUCAGACAGAUGCUCCUCAGUGCUUUGGCAAAAAUGGAGUUAACCAGCUCAGCUCCUAAACCAGGAUCCUUGAAGGCACUGGUUACUGAGAAGUGCUUAAAAGAGUCCACAGAGAUUAACAAGUUCCAGACCAUGCUGCUUCAGGUGGCUGGGAUCAUUUAUGCUUUGCAUGGACAUGAGGUUAAGGAGUGGAUUGCCAAGGAAAUUGUUGAUCUGUUGAAAGAUUCAGAACUUGGUGUAAAAGAUGACAAUCAGUGGUUUGACCUGAUUGAUCUAGCAAAGAAUAAUCAUGAUGUCAUCACUUUUGCUUCCAAUCACAUAACUAAAGCUAUAACCAUCACUGAACAGCGUGUAGCAACGGCUCUUCACUUGUUACUCACAGCUAGACCAAAGAAAAUCACACUUGAUAUUAUCAGUAAAGCAACAACUCUCCCAAGCUUAGAAGCUUUGAUGAACAGAAUUGCAGACUGUGAAUGUGACUUAGAUUUGGCUUUCUGGCAAGACUUCAGUUAUCCCGCCUCAUCUCCAAGCAAUGAUCAAGAACUAAGGAUUAUCUCAAAGAGAUGUAACCUUGGGCAGGUAGUGUUCCAUGUUAGUGGUGGUGUUCUUGCUGAAAUAAGAGGGACCUGCACCUAUCUGAGCCUGGCAGUGACCAGUAACCAAGCAGCACAGGAGGUCUUGCAAAGUCUCAGGAAACAACCCAGUGACUUAGUUGUUGUUGGACUGUGUCUGCAUCUAACUACAAAUGUGUCCCCAGAAGUCUUGAGCCAGGUUCAUGGGAUAAUUAUGCUGUCUCUGGUGAUAAGUGGAGUGCAUGAUGACAACAUCAACAUUGUGUGUGACAUGGCUAAGGCACUCCAGCCUCAAAACUCUAUGUUAUUAGAUAUGCGAUUUCCUCAGGCUUCUGUCACCUAUGCUGGAUGCGUUAAGUUACUGAAGAGUAUGAAAGCUGCUGGUAUUAGUUCAGGCCACAUAUCCAUUCCUGAAAAUGUUUUGUUGAGGAAAGAUGAACUGGAGUGGCUGAAGGAGUUUGCUUUCGAUGAGUUACCUGUAAGAUCUGCCUUUCGAAGGUUGAGUGAGAAACAGAUGUGGGGUCACCAUUUUCUUUUGUAUGAUGAGGAAAAUGACUAUUCAAUUUGAAAUUGGACCUGUUUUGCAGCACUGCCCACUCACCACAUGUCAACACUUCCUGCAUCCAGACCCACCCAGUUCAAUGCCGCCCCUGGGAGAGUCGUAGUCAAGUCUGGCGGCGCCGCGAUACCACACCACCGCCUGGGGUCCGCCGCCGCUGGGGUGGUUCGCUGUGCAGUUGACGGCCAAGAUGCUGCCCUGCUGGAUGUACCGCUCCCCCGCACCCUCGAUACGCACUUGUGUGUCUGCCACGGGAAGCCUCAGGUUGCCGUACCCAAACAUGCCGACGCCCUCUCCUCCCUGUCUCCUUCCUCCCUCCUUGCCUCCUCUGCCUGCUUUCCCUGCCUUCCUGCCUAUCUUUAAUUCCUCCCUCCUUCCCUCCAUGCUUGCCUCCCUAUAUUUCCUCCUCCUUCCUUCAUUUCUGUUUGUCUUUGUCUCUCUUUUCUCUCCCUGUCUCCUGCUCCUGCCUCCCUCCUUGCCUCCUCUGCCUGCUUUCCCUGCCUUCCUGCCUAUCUAUAAUUCCUCCCUCCUUCCCUCCAUGCUUGCCUCCCUAUAUUUCCUCCUCCUUCCUUCCUUUCUUUUUGUCUCCGUCUCUCUCUUCUCUCCCUGUCUCCUGCUCCUGCCUCCCUCCUUGCCUUCUCUGCCUGCUUUCCCUGCCUUCCUGCCUGUCUAUAAUUCCUCCCUCCUUCCCUCCAUGCUUGCCUCCCUAUAUUUCCUCCUCCUUCAUUCAUUUCUGUUUGCCUUCGUCUCUUUCUUCUCUCCCUGUCUUCCUGCUUACCUCUCUCCCUCCUUCCCUCCCUGCUGGCCUCCCUGUAUUUCCUCCUUCCUCCCUCAUACAUUGCUCCUUCGUGCCCUGUCUCUCCUUCUCUCUCCCUCUAUCUCCUUUUUAUACCUCCCUAUUUUCAUGUCUAUCUCUCUAGUUUCUCCAUCUUUCCUUUCUUACUUCCCUCCCUAUUUUAUUUUCUCCUUCCUCUCUGUUUCCUCUGUGUCUCCUGUCUCUUCCUGCCUCUCUUUAUAAUCUCCCUCCAUACCUUCCCGUCUUCCUUCUGCUUGCUUUCCUUCAUGCCUCUCCCUCCCUUCUCUCCCUCACCUCUCCUUCCUUCGCGCCUUCUCUCUCUUCCUGCCUCCCUCUGUUUCCUCCUUCCUUCUAUACCUCUCUGCCUUUCUCCUCCAUGCCUCCCUCCUUCCCUCCCUCUCCUUCCUUUCUUGUUCGUGUCUCUCUUUCUAUUUCCCUCCAUCCCCUUCUUUCCUCCAUACUUCCCUGCUUUCCUUUUUUUUCUCUCUCUCCUGUCCCUCCCUCUACCUCCUUCCCUGCUUCAGUUUCUCUUUCUAUCUUCCUCUUUCCCCUUCUUUCCUCCGUACUUCCCUGCUUCUCAUAUAUUUUUCUCCCCCGGUCUCUCCCUCCUUGCCCCUUCCUCCUUCUCCCAUUCUUCCUUCCCUUUCUUCCUGCCCUGCCGUCACACCAACCCGGCUGACUGACUCCCUGUGCUCCCUUCCCUUCCUCUCCCUUCCUCCCUCCUUCCUUCCCUUCCUGCCCGGCCGUCACACCAACCCGGCUGACUGACUCCCUGUGCUCCCUUCCCUUCCUCUCCCUUCCUCCCUCCUUCCUUCCCUUCCUGCCCGGCUGUCACACCACCACGACUGACUGACUCCCUGUACUUCCUUCCCUUCCUCUCCCUCCCUCUCCCUCCCUUCCUCCUUCCUUCCCUUCCUGCUCGGCCAUCACACCAACCCGGCUGACUGACUCCCUGUACUUCCUUCCCUUCCUCUCCCUCCCUCUCCCUCCCUUCCUCCUUCCUUCCCUUCCUGCCCGGCUGUCACACCACCACGACUGACUGACUCCCCGUCCCCCUGCGUCCCUCAAGGUUGUUGGUGGAUAAACCUGCGACUGGACUAAGUUUCUGAUGGAGUGUGUGGCCUGCCAGAAUUUUUACAAUGCAGACCUCCUGGUGCCUCGGGUCCUUUCUUGCGGGCACACAUUUUGCGGCCAAUGCGUCAAACUACUGUUGGACUUCUCUCCGACGGAAGCGAUCGUCUGCGUUGUGUGCCGCCUGCCCCAUUAUUCCAAGGUUACCAGUCCCAUCGAGGUCCCCUACAACUUUGCACUUCUAGAUUUAAUGUUUGCCUAUUGUCGAGGAGGUGCCCAGCUAUACGGAGAAGUUAAGGGCCCUAUUGAGCUGGGCAGAGGAGCUGGUGGACGCGACAUGGCUUCCCCGCCAGGUUUGGGUCAUGAUAUUGCCCAACUACAGAUUGAUUCACCUGGCGGACUCUUGAAAGGUCAUGGACCGGUUAUAAAGGACCCUGGCCCAUCGACUUCCCAUGGGCCGGUGACGGAGCACCCUGGCCCAUCGACUUCCCAUGGGCCGGUGACGGAGCACCCUGGCCCAUCGACUUCCCGAGGGCCGGUGACGGAGCACCCUGGCCCAUCGACUUCCCGAGGGCCGGUGACUGAGCACCCUGGCCCAUCGACUUCCCGAGGGCCGGUGACGGAGCACCCUGGCCCAUCGACUUCCCGAGGGCCGGUGACGGAGCACCCUGGCCCAUCGACUUCCCGAGGGCCGGUGACGGAGCACCCUGGCCCAUCGACUUCCCGAGGGCCGGUGACGGAGCACCCUGGCCCAUCGACUUCCCGAGGGCCGGUGACGGAGCACCCUGGCCCAUCGACUUCCCGAGGGCCGGUGACGGAGCACCCUGGCCCAUCGACUUCCCGGGGGCCGGUGACGGAGCACCCUGGCCCAUCAACUUCCCGUGGCCCGGUGACGGAGCACCCUGGCCCAUCAACUUCCCGUGGCCCGGUGACGGAGCACCCUGGCCCAUCAACUUCCCGUGGCCCGGUGACGGAGCACUCUGGCCCAUGGACUUCCCGAGGGCCGGAGACGGAGCACCCUGGCCCAUCGACUUCCCGUGUGCCAGGAGACGAGAGCAAAGUCCCAUCGGCCUCCAUUAUGCCAGCAGUUGAGACCGCAGGUCCAUCGGCCUCCAUUGUGCCAGGAGACGAGACCUCAGGCUCAUCGUCCUCCGCUGGGCCAGGUAAAGAGAACUCGGCCCUCUCCACCUCCCUUAUUACAAAUGAACCUCCACAGCCGGUUUCUUCGCGAGGGAAAGAGCCGGUUUCUCCGCGAGGGAAAGAGACGAGACCUCAGGGCCCUGUUUCUCCCCAAGGGAGUGGAAUGAAACGUCCCGUCGAUGACUCACCCCAGGGGAGUGCAGUGAAACAUCCAGACCCCGUAUCCCCUCAGGGCCGUAGGAUUCUAACUCCAAGCCCUGUAUCUCCUCGUGGACGUGGAAUGGUGACUACAGACCCAAAGCACCGUCCUGGGAUGAGUAGCCCAGGUCCAAGUUCUUCCCGAGGGAGUGAGAUAAUGCCUCAAGUUGUCGCAGGCCCAUCAGGCCAUCGUGAAGAGCAGGAAGGUGAGAUGGAUUCAUCCACCGACUCGUGUGAAGAGGAUGAAGAUUACGAAUGCCCCAAGAUUGAACGUGAAGUGCGAGCGCCACCACCUAUCGGCGAUAACUUCAGAGUGAUUUUGCAGCCACCUCCAGGAAUGAUCUGGUACGGUGGGUUCCUCCGCGAUGGCAGGAAUGAAGUCUUUCCAGGCAUGCAGAAUGAUGACCUGUGGGGUCAGCACAGAGUUCCCAAACAGGCACAAAUAGUUGGUAACCAGCGGCGACGUGGCAAGAAACUUAGAAAAAGUUACAGACGUCCCUCGCAAUACCCGUCUGCAGACUCCAUCUCUGAUUAUGAGCCUAUUUUGACCCCGAUCGUUUUUUAACCAUGACUCGCCAGGAAGCAGCCUGGACUGAGCGUUCGUUCGCUGACAUGUGCGAGGUGGUAGAUGAAAGCGGAUCACUUCAUUGGGUGAUCAGUGUAGCGAUUUUUACAGUAAUGAUUUUAACAUUUUAAGUUUCACAACCUUAUUUUAAUUGGUUUCAAUACAGAUGUACAGUUUGUGUAAAGGCUCUUCCAUGUUUCUGCAAAUUUUAUGUACUUUUUAAUGAAGGGUAAUUGCAAUUUGUAUGUUUAAACGUUUGUUUGGUUUAAAACUUUUCAGUAUUUAUUAAUUGGCGAAGUGUGAACUGAUUGGAAACUUUUACCGCGUGUUCUGGCAUCGACGCAACUUAUUAAAAUAAAAUGUGAGCAAUCUGGA